UCUUAUACUGGAACUGAUUUGUAUCGUGAUUGUAUAUAGGGUCUUACCGUUAUUUAAUCAGUGGGUUAGUGUAAAUAAGUCUGGAUUCAUUUUGAACUGAGCUGUCUUUCAUACAUUAGAUGUGGAUAUUUAUAACGGAGAACAUGGAACCAUGCUUACUUGAUCUCGAGAAUUCUGCCGUAGUGUUGUUUAUGGAAUUCAAAUGUACUUUUGGUGGCAUAAUAACUGCUUCUUUGGAUAUUGUAGCAUUCAGCCUUAGAAUAACUUGAUCAUAAGAAUAAAUGGGAUAAAAAAAAUGUUGAUUUGAUGUUUUUGUUGAUCGUUAGCUCUGCUUGUCAUGACUUCUUUGAAUAGAAGCUUUGAACCUUGUUGCAUUUAUUACUAAGUCGUGCUUGCUUGAAAGAGAUAUGAAUGAAAGUCAAGUAAAGCUGGAAUAAUUAUGAUAAUACCAUUAGUUAGCUUACAGUUCCUGAUUGAUAUAAAGUGAUUAAUCUUGAAAGGUGCUAUUGAUACAAGUAUGAUGUGUUUCAUCAUUUUACUGGAGAAACUAUUGGUGAUAUUUCUGAAAUUUUACUGCCAAACUGAGUGAACUGGUGAUAUUUAAGAUUUUGAUGGCAAGGUAAUCAGUAUGUUGAUGUACUCUUAUUUUCAUGACCUACUAUCUCCCGGUGAGCAAUGUUUUCACUUUUCAAGAGGGACUUGUGGGACUUGAUGACUAUGCCUUGGUAUUUGAGAUCUGUUGUGUUUUAAUAUUUGAUUCGAUACUGGUUUCCCAUGUCAUUACAAUUUUUUUGUUCUAACAACGGCUGCUAUUACUAGAUAGUGGAACUAGAGUUGGGGGUGGGAGACAAUACUUGGCUUUUAAAUUCUUAUUUUCAUUAUUGGUUUUGACCGCGUUAGUUAGUGAAG
RNAcentral lists this unclassified non-coding RNA (909 nucleotides) under Hevea brasiliensis (rubber tree). Lineage: Eukaryota; Viridiplantae; Streptophyta; Magnoliopsida; Malpighiales; Euphorbiaceae. The record is from RNAcentral.